Molecule: long non-coding RNA, 2991 nt
Filed under: Marmota monax (woodchuck)
Lineage: Eukaryota; Metazoa; Chordata; Mammalia; Rodentia; Sciuridae
Source: RNAcentral
GGGCGGGUCCUGGCAGCUAGCAUUGGGUCCGGCUUGGGAAUCACAGAGAAUUGAUGGAGUCAUCCGAGGAGACCUCGAAGAAUGGCAAAGAGGGGUUGAAGAGCCACAAUCGCCGGCGGUGGCGAAAAGACAAGGGCAAAGGUGAGCUCGCGGGCACCGACCGUAGCCCGGAAAGAACCUCACACACCCUACGGGGCUCUCGGGACCGAGUAGACAGAACCACCGCCACGAGAGUUGGGGGAACCACGGACUGGCCCAUUGCCGCCUUGCGUCGGGGCGGACGACCCACUAUGAGAAGGGGAGAGGUGAGAGUGGAAUGUCCCACUCAGGCGUAGAGACUACCGGGCGCCCUACUGCCGUCUUGGGCGCAGAGUCCGGAAUGCGAGUCUCUUGGACCUCGGUUCCCGUGUGACCUAGGGCAACCGCUGUCCUUAGUGUUUCUGCCUGGAAAAUGGUUCAAGCGCUGGUUUUCAGGUCACCAGCACUCUUGAGAAGAUAAAGGGUAAGGGGUCUAGCAGCUGUUACCCAAAGAGAAAGUUUAGGGGUGAGUCAGGGAAAGGGUGUCAGAAUUGGAAAUGAAGGGGGGCCAGUUGAGCUCAUCAAAGCCCCAGUCUCCCACCCUCAGUCCAUCCAUUCGUCCAUUCAUUGUCGGUCCACCCGCGUCAUCCCAGCUACACUGGGGCCUAACCUCCCAACGCCCACCAAUUCUAGGACUAGGGUCUCUAGUUUGGGUUUGGACCUUCAUACCCUCCCUAAGGAGAAGGAGGGAGGGCUGUAGCAUUGGGUUCUCUAGAUCUCAAGAGGCUGGAGAAAACUAACAGACCAAUGGAGAUGCUAAAAGCCUCAGGCAAGGGCAUUAAGCCCUGGCUCAGCUGAGUCUUUUAACAAUCUCUAUGAGGAUCUGUGGGAAGUUCCUAAGCAGGAAAGAAACUGACAUGGUUCUCCAGCUCCAGGGACCUCAAACUGUCGUGCUCCCUGCCUGCAUUAGCCAAGGAUAGAACUGCAGUUGGCUCCAGUGUACACACACAUGCAGCUCAGACAGGCUGAGAGUUCAGACUGGAGUCUCAGGACAUUCGCUCUCCCACAAGACACAGGAGCCUCAUAAGCAAGACAGACACAUACCCAGAGGCAAUACAGAUUAUGGUUAACAACCAGGGUGUUGGAGUACUUGCCUAGUGUCUGCCUGAGGCCCUGGGUUCCAUCCCCCAGCACUGCAAAAACAACAACCUGAGUAUUGGAGACCUGGCUCCUCAUUCUGAGAGUUGUGACAUAUUGGGCAACAGCCUUUUUCCUGAGCUCUAAAAUGGGCAUCACCAUCAGAGUGCCUGACUUGUAGGACUGUUGUGAAGUUCAAAUGAGUGUAUAACAUUUGGCACUCAGCAAGCCCUCAGGAGACACGGAGCUACUGUUAGUCCCCAUUAGCCAGUGAGCUCUCGAAGAGUAGGCUUCUUUCUGUCUGCCUUGUUUGCCCUAUAAUGCCAGAGCCUGGAAUGUCAGGCACAUAGGUACUCAAAUAUUUAUUGGAUUAAUAAGUGAAGGCAUGCAUGAACUGUAAUACGAGGAUAUUAAUAAUCAUGCUUACCUUAGGGUUGUCUUGAGGAGUCAGAAAGAAUCUGCUUGGGCUCAGUCCUGUCACAGACCCAUGGACCUACAUACACACAAAGGCUCAUUCCCUCGAGCUCUAAGAUUUGCCCGUCAUUUCUGGAGGCCCUCCCUGGCGCCAGGCCUCUGAUGGAUGAAUCAGACCUCACCCCUGCCCUUGGGUGUCUGGGCUGGCUGGAGUAGUUCUUAUUAUCAGUUUGAUCUUCCCAGUAAUUAGAUGAGGCUAGUGUCAUUAUAAUCAUCCCAUUUCUCAAAUGACAACACCUAUUUGUACUUACCUGGCCAGUGAAGGUAAAAAGAUGGCUGCCCUCAGCCUCUUCAGCCCAGAAGUGUGUGGGUUGGAGAUUGCUGCUGUUGUGUAUCCGACCCAAAAAUUCCCAGUCACACAGAUUCAUUCAACAGACAUUCACUGAACACCUAGGACACACCUGGGCUCUUAGUGACCAGGACAGACUCCCAGUGGAGCUAGAGACAGAGAUGUAAUCAAAUAAGAUCAUUGUUAUAAAUUGUGACAGAUAAAGAAAAAAUCCUGAGAAAUAUGAAACAGGGAGGCUUCCAAAGGAGGUGACAUUGGACCCAAGGAUGGGCAGCACUAACUGCUGAGCAAGUGGGGGCAGGGAGCACAGAGGAGAUAGCAUGGACAAAGACCUUGAGGUCCCAGGCAGCAGCACAUGACAGUACAGAGGAAUCACAGAGAGGGGGGAGGAUGCAACAGGAAACUGGGCAGGCAGGGAAAGCAGGGAGGAUGGUACCUGGUUGAAAGGCCAUGUCCAGGAUUUGGAGCUUUAUCCUGAGAGCAAGGCAUGAGGCAUCGAAGGGUUGAGAGCAUGUGGCCAGAUUUAUGUUUUAGAAAGAUCCUCUGGUUGGUAUGUGGAGAACAAAUGGAAACCUGUGACUCACACAGAGGUUUGCAAUCAUUCAGAUGAGGAUGCACUGGCGUGGACCAAGGAGACAGUAGAGGUGGGAGGGCCAGGUUAUAGCAGUAGAGUGAAUAGGACUGGGUGACGAAUUGGAUGGGGUGGGAGGUAGCCAAGAUCACACGCUGGGUUUCUGCUGGAGCAAAUCGGGAGAAGUCUGUUCUCAUCACACACCAGGAGACUAAGAUCCACCCAUAUGUGUAUAUUCAUUCAUUCAUACACAAACAUGCUCACACAAGCCGAGAGGAAUAGAGAUACACUCACAGGCUAAGAAAUGCACGUGGGCCAUGACACUCGCAUACAGACACACAAAGCUCAGACAUACCAAGAAAUGUGAAAAAAUGCCAACACAUACAUGUGGACAGCUGGCCAUGACACACACCUACAAAUAUAUACAUCUAAAUGUGAACCCCCAAGACAGAAGGAGCAACACAGAGACUCAGAAACACAAGCAGAGACCAUAGCACUGUCA